GCAGUGGUGGUUUAGUGAUAGACUUCUCAUCUUUCAUGCAGGAGACCCAGGUUCGAUUCCUGGCCAAUGCA
This 71-nucleotide transfer RNA is filed under the name Loxodonta africana (African savanna elephant). It matches the Rfam family "tRNA". From Rfam's summary of the family: Transfer RNA (tRNA) molecules are approximately 80 nucleotides in length. Their secondary structure includes four short double-helical elements and three loops (D, anti-codon, and T loops). The record is from Rfam by way of RNAcentral. Lineage: Eukaryota; Metazoa; Chordata; Mammalia; Proboscidea; Elephantidae.